CUGAGAAUACUAGAAACUGGAUUCUUCCAUUUGUCUAUAGAAAAGGUAAAAUGUGGGCAAGCAACAAUGAACUCCUCAUCUUGCCAGCAUGCCUCAACCCUGAUCUGAGGGGUGCCACUCUUUGGGUGAAAGGGAAGUUCAUUAACCAUGCUCAUUCAUUUCUUCUUGGUU
This 171-nucleotide small RNA is filed under the name Gopherus agassizii (Agassiz's desert tortoise). RNAcentral's name for it is "TUC338 (ENSGAGG00000023466.1)". Lineage: Eukaryota; Metazoa; Chordata; Testudines; Testudinidae. The record is from RNAcentral.